This 1023-nucleotide ribosomal RNA is filed under the name Acinetobacter calcoaceticus. Its description in RNAcentral is "bacterial LSU rRNA". It matches the Rfam family "Bacterial large subunit ribosomal RNA", at positions 1925 to 2925 of the family's 2925-position model. Lineage: Bacteria; Pseudomonadati; Pseudomonadota; Gammaproteobacteria; Moraxellales; Moraxellaceae. The record is from RNAcentral.
AAACGGCGGCCGUAACUAUAACGGUCCUAAGGUAGCGAAAUUCCUUGUCGGGUAAGUUCCGACCUGCACGAAUGGCAUAAUGAUGGCGGCGCUGUCUCCAGCAGAGGCUCAGUGAAAUCGAAAUCGCUGUGAAGAUGCAGUGUACCCGCGGCUAGACGGAAAGACCCCGUGAACCUUUACUGCAGCUUGACACUGAACUUUGACCUUACUUGUGUAGGAUAGGUGGGAGGCUUUGAAGUUGGAACGCUAGUUCCAAUGGAGCCGUCCUUGAAAUACCACCCUGGUAAUGUUGAGGUUCUAACUCUGUCCCGUUAUCCGGGACGAGGACCGUGUCUGGUGGGUAGUUUGACUGGGGCGGUCUCCUCCUAAAGAGUAACGGAGGAGUACGAAGGUGCGCUCAGCGUGGUCGGAAAUCACGCGUAGAGUAUAAAGGCAAAAGCGCGCUUAACUGCGAGACCCACAAGUCGAGCAGGUACGAAAGUAGGUCUUAGUGAUCCGGUGGUUCUGUAUGGAAGGGCCAUCGCUCAACGGAUAAAAGGUACUCUGGGGAUAACAGGCUGAUACCGCCCAAGAGUUCAUAUCGACGGCGGUGUUUGGCACCUCGAUGUCGGCUCAUCUCAUCCUGGGGCUGAAGCAGGUCCCAAGGGUAUGGCUGUUCGCCAUUUAAAGAGGUACGCGAGCUGGGUUUAGAACGUCGUGAGACAGUUCGGUCCCUAUCUACCGUGGGCGCUGGAAAUUUGAGAGGAUCUGCUCCUAGUACGAGAGGACCAGAGUGGACGAACCUCUGGUGUACCGGUUGUGACGCCAGUCGCAUCGCCGGGUAGCUAUGUUCGGAAGGGAUAACCGCUGAAAGCAUCUAAGCGGGAAGCCUACCUCAAGAUAAGAUUUCCCUAGGAAUUUAUUCCUCUAAAGAGCCGUUCGAGACUAGGACGUUGAUAGGUUGGAUGUGGAAGCAUAGUGAUAUGUGAAGCUGACCAAUACUAAUUGCUCGUGAGGCUUGACUAUACAACACCCAAGCAGUUG